RNAcentral lists this ribosomal RNA (509 nucleotides) under uncultured bacterium. RNAcentral's name for it is "partial 16S ribosomal RNA". It matches the Rfam family "Bacterial small subunit ribosomal RNA", at positions 28 to 523 of the family's 1533-position model. The record is from RNAcentral.
GACGAACGCUGGCGGCGUGCCUAACACAUGCAAGUUGAGCGACGAACCAGGGCUUGCCCUGGGGCAAAGCAGCGAACGGGUGAGUAACACGUGGGUAACCUACCCCGAUAACCGGGACAACCCGAGGAAACUCGGGCUAAUACCGGAUGUGCUCACUGAACUUCGGUUCAGUGCGUAAAGGAAGCUUCGGCCUCCGUAUCGGGAGGGGCCCGCGGCCCAUGAGCUAGUUGGUGAGGUAACGGCUCACCAAGGCCGCGAUGGGUAGCUGGUCUGAGGGGACGAUCAGGCACACUGGGACGGAGAAACGGCCCAGACGCAGACGGGAGGCAGCGGUGGGGAAUCUUGCGCAAUGCGCGAAAGCGGGACGCAGCAACGCCGCGUGGGGGAAGAAGGCCUUCGGGUUGUAAACCCCUUUCAGGAGGGACGAAGGUUCGGCGGUGAAUAGCCGUCCGGACUGACGGUACCUCCACAAGAAGCCCCGGCUAACUACGUGCCAGCCGCCGCAGUAA